UUUGACUUCAUUCCUCACCAUUAUCUCUCUCUCUAGCCGUCCCUCCCCUCUUCAACAGUCACAAGCCCAGAACUCCGGCGACUUAGUCCCCUGCCGCACGUUCGUCGUUCUUUGCCAGCCGCCGCCGUCCAUAUCUCGAGCGACCGCACGGUCGGAAGGCCGCCGCCGCCGAGCCCUAGGUACCCAAAUUCGUAGAUCUCUAAAUUGCGGCCACCUCCCUCCCUUCUCUCCUCAAUUUCUGGCGACAACAACCACAAGCCACCCCCUUCCCAUUCUCUCUUCAAUUUCCGAGCCCCUCUGUGACAACAGCUACAAGCCACCCCCACCCCCUCAUCCGCCUUUUUCUCUCUAAACCAUGAAACCCCUAGCCGCCUUUCUCUAAACCUGCCCCGUAUCUUCACCCCUAAAAUCGAUUACCGGAGACCGUGGUCCCUAAAAUCGAUGUGACGGAGCCGGUGGUUGUUGAAGAAGAAAAGCCGGUGGUUGGUAAAGAGAAAGAGGCGAAAAUCGUGGAGCCUAUAUGUUUGCUUCUGCCUUGUGUGUUGUUCUGUGAUGGGUUGCUAUGUUCUGAGCUUGAUGUUCUGUGAAUAAAUGGCGGAUGCUUCCUUGUUGUUGUCUGUACUGUUGGCCCCCGAUUCCUUGUUAGCUUUGAAAUGUUGCCUUGUUUUUUUUUUGCAAAAU
Molecule: long non-coding RNA, 681 nt
Filed under: Salvia miltiorrhiza (redroot sage)
Lineage: Eukaryota; Viridiplantae; Streptophyta; Magnoliopsida; Lamiales; Lamiaceae
Description: long non-coding RNA (SMIL_LNC001215)
Source: RNAcentral